AACGUAGGAGACAAACGUUAUCCGGAGUUACUGGGCGUAAAGGGCGUGUAGGCGGUUUGUUAAGUCUGGCGUGAAAGCUCUCGGCUAAACCGGGAGAGGUCGUUGGAUACUGGCAAACUAGAGGACGGUAGAGGCGUGUGGAACUCCGAGUGUAGAGGUGAAAUUCGUAGAUAUUCGGAAGAACACCAGUGGCGAAGGCGGCUCACUGGUCCGGUACUGACGCUGAGGUGCGAAAGCGUGGGGAGCAAACAGG
RNAcentral lists this ribosomal RNA (253 nucleotides) under uncultured bacterium. RNAcentral's name for it is "partial 16S ribosomal RNA". It matches the Rfam family "Bacterial small subunit ribosomal RNA", at positions 524 to 776 of the family's 1533-position model. The record is from RNAcentral.